GUCGGGAAUAUUGCCCAAUGCGCGAAAGCGUGAGGCAGCAACGCCGCGUGCGCGAUGAAGGCCUUCGGGUCGUAAAGCGCUUUUCGGUGGGAUGAGGACGGACAGUACCACCGGAAUAAGGUACGGCUAACUACGUGCCAGCAGCCGCGGUAAAACGUAGGUACCGAGCGUUAUCCGGAUUUACUGGGCGUAAAGCGCGUUCAGGCGGUCAGGCAAGUCGGGCAUGAAAUCUCUCGGCUCAACCGGGAGGGGUUGUCCGAUACUGGCUGGCUUGAGGGCAGUAGAGGGUGGUGGAAUUCCGGGUGUAGUGGUGAAAUGCGUAGAUAUCCGGAGGAACACCAGUGGCGAAGGCGGCCACCUGGACUGUACCUGACGCUCAAACGCGAAAGCUAGGGGAGCGAACGGGAUUAGAUACCCCAGUAGUCC
Molecule: ribosomal RNA, 426 nt
Filed under: uncultured bacterium
Lineage: Bacteria
Description: bacterial SSU rRNA
Rfam family: Bacterial small subunit ribosomal RNA
Source: RNAcentral